Molecule: ribosomal RNA, 254 nt
Filed under: uncultured bacterium
Lineage: Bacteria
Description: partial 16S ribosomal RNA
Rfam family: Bacterial small subunit ribosomal RNA
Source: RNAcentral
UACGAAGGGGGCUAGCGUUGCUCGGAAUCACUGGGCGUAAAGGGUGCGUAGGCGGGUCUUUUAAGUCAGGGGUGAAAUCCUGGAGCUCAACUCCGGAACUGCCUUCGAUACUGCAUGGCUUGAGACCGGAAGAGGUUAGUGGAACUGCGAGUGUAGAGGUGAAAUUCGUAGAUAUUCGCAAGAACACCAGUGGCGAAGGCGGCUGACUGGUCCGGAUCUGACGCUGAGGCGCGAAAGCGUGGGGAGCAAACAGG